Molecule: transfer RNA, 71 nt
Filed under: Candidatus Sungiibacteriota bacterium
Lineage: Bacteria; Candidatus Sungiibacteriota
Description: tRNA-His
Rfam family: tRNA
About the family: Transfer RNA (tRNA) molecules are approximately 80 nucleotides in length. Their secondary structure includes four short double-helical elements and three loops (D, anti-codon, and T loops). Further hydrogen bonds mediate the characteristic L-shaped molecular structure. tRNAs have two regions of fundamental functional importance: the anti-codon, which is responsible for specific mRNA codon recognition, and the 3' end, to which the tRNAs corresponding amino acid is attached (by aminoacyl-tRNA synthetases). tRNAs cope with the degeneracy of the genetic code in two manners: having more than one tRNA (with a specific anti-codon) for a particular amino acid; and 'wobble' base-pairing, i.e. permitting non-standard base-pairing at the 3rd anti-codon position.
Source: RNAcentral
GGAGCCAUGGUGUAACGGCAGCACGGCGCUCUGUGGCAGCGUCGGCGAGGGUUCAACUCCCUCUGGCUCCC